AGAGUUUGAUCCUGGCUCAGGACGAACGCUGGCGGCGUGCCUAAUACAUGCAAGUCGAACGAACUCUGGUAUUGAUUGGUGCUUGCAUCAUGAUUUACAUUUGAGUGAGUGGCGAACUGGUGAGUAACACGUGGGAAACCUGCCCAGAAGCGGGGGAUAACACCUGGAAACAGAUGCUAAUACCGCAUAACAACUUGGACCGCAUGGUCCGAGCUUGAAAGAUGGCUUCGGCUAUCACUUUUGGAUGGUCCCGCGGCGUAUUAGCUAGAUGGUGGGGUAACGGCUCACCAUGGCAAUGAUACGUAGCCGACCUGAGAGGGUAAUCGGCCACAUUGGGACUGAGACACGGCCCAAACUCCUACGGGAGGCAGCAGUAGGGAAUCUUCCACAAUGGACGAAAGUCUGAUGGAGCAACGCCGCGUGAGUGAAGAAGGGUUUCGGCUCGUAAAACUCUGUUGUUAAAGAAGAACAUAUCUGAGAGUAACUGUUCAGGUAUUGACGGUAUUUAACCAGAAAGCCACGGCUAACUACGUGCCAGCAGCCGCGGUAAUACGUAGGUGGCAAGCGUUGUCCGGAUUUAUUGGGCGUAAAGCGAGCGCAGGCGGUUUUUUAAGUCUGAUGUGAAAGCCUUCGGCUCAACCGAAGAAGUGCAUCGGAAACUGGGAAACUUGAGUGCAGAAGAGGACAGUGGAACUCCAUGUGUAGCGGUGAAAUGCGUAGAUAUAUGGAAGAACACCAGUGGCGAAGGCGGCUGUCUGGUCUGUAACUGACGCUGAGGCUCGAAAGUAUGGGUAGCAAACAGGAUUAGAUACCCUGGUAGUCCAUACCGUAAACGAUGAAUGCUAAGUGUUGGAGGGUUUCCGCCCUUCAGUGCUGCAGCUAACGCAUUAAGCAUUCCGCCUGGGGAGUACGGCCGCAAGACUGAAACUCAAAGGAAUUGACGGGGGCCCGCACAAGCGGUGGAGCAUGUGGUUUAAUUCGAAGCUACGCGAAGAACCUUACCAGGUCUUGACAUACUAUGCAAAUCUAAGAGAUUAGACGUUCCCUUCGGGGACAUGGAUACAGGUGGUGCAUGGUUGUCGUCAGCUCGUGUCGUGAGAUGUUGGGUUAAGUCCCGCAACGAGCGCAACCCUUAUUAUCAGUUGCCAGCAUUAAGUUGGGCACUCUGGUGAGACUGCCGGUGACAAACCGGAGGAAGGUGGGGAUGACGUCAAAUCAUCAUGCCCCUUAUGACCUGGGCUACACACGUGCUACAAUGGAUGGUACAACGAGUUGCGAACUCGCGAGAGUAAGCUAAUCUCUUAAAGCCAUUCUCAGUUCGGAUUGUAGGCUGCAACUCGCCUACAUGAAGUCGGAAUCGCUAGUAAUCGCGGAUCAGCAUGCCGCGGUGAAUACGUUCCCGGGCCUUGUACACACCGCCCGUCACACCAUGAGAGUUUGUAACACCCAAAGUCGGUGGGGUAACCUUUUAGGAACCAGCCGCCUAAGGUGGGACAGAUGAUUAGGGUG
This 1509-nucleotide ribosomal RNA is filed under the name Lactiplantibacillus argentoratensis. RNAcentral describes it as "partial 16S ribosomal RNA". It matches the Rfam family "Bacterial small subunit ribosomal RNA". The record is from RNAcentral. Lineage: Bacteria; Bacillati; Bacillota; Bacilli; Lactobacillales; Lactobacillaceae.